RNAcentral lists this long non-coding RNA (1213 nucleotides) under Monodelphis domestica (gray short-tailed opossum). Its description in RNAcentral is "lncRNA (ENSMODG00000036902.1)". Lineage: Eukaryota; Metazoa; Chordata; Mammalia; Didelphimorphia; Didelphidae. The record is from RNAcentral.
AUGAACCUCCUCACUGCCCCAGAACUUGGACUCAAGAUUACAUCUAGGGUUCCAGGCUUCAUAUAUGGGAAGAAAAAGGACAACACGAUUACAAAGACCAGGAGUCACACUUGGUUAGAGAAGCUAGCCAGAACCCAGGGUAUCUGCUCAUCUGAGGUUAGUCAUCCACAGAAAACCUGUGCAGAAACAAGAGGAGAACCUGAGAAAUGCUGACUGGAAAGAUGCAAGGGCCACCUGGAUGCCUAUAGCAUGAACCAACCUGAGAGGUGGGUAAAAACACAUGUCCUAGGGAGCUAUUGAAAAACUCACUGAAAUGGUGUGAUAGCAAAAUGCAAAUGGGUCCUUUGGGGGUCUAGAGAAAAAUAAGAAGGGCACUGUAUAGAACAGAGAGUGCCCAAUCCAAGGCACAAGAACAUCCUGGUUCACUGACAUGAUUUGCCAUUGCUGAAGGAUGUGCUCAAAUAAUCAGGGCUUAAUGGCAUCAUGCUUAAAAUAAUCCAACUCCCACAGCUUAGACUCAGCAUUUACUAGUUUUAUGAGUCUUUUGCCUCCUUUCCCCCUAUUAGAUUCUCCCUGGUAUCUUGGGAUCAAACUUACCCAUGUAAAUGAUUUAUUCCCCUUACUCCUCCUUAGUAAUCAGUAAACACCUAGAAGGCAGGCACAAUUUUAUUUUUACUUUGGUGUGAACAAAAUUCACUUCUAUACCUUACUUGCAAUGGGCACUUAAAUGUGGCUGACCUGAAUUGAGAACCUUCCCACCAUAUUAUCUCCGUCUUCUAAAACACAGUAACUUCACUGGCAUAUCUGCCUCCAGAAUUUCUCUGUCUUAAUAUUCUUUAUGAUAAUACAUGUAUAACCCAGAUCAAAUUGGCUGCCAGCAUCAGGAGGAGGAGGAACAAAAGGGAAAGAGGGAGAUAAGAUCAAUCAUAUAACUUAAGAAAACUUGUGUGGAAAUCUGUUGUUACUAAUUAGUAAAAAAAAUAGUGAAUUAAUAUGUAUUAGGCCAGUGUUGGCAAAUCUUUUAGAGAUCCUGUGCCCAAACUGUACCUUUAAACCACCUGUGAGCCCCUCACAUUAUUGCAAAGAGUGUGGAGGGAGGAAGUCCUUGUACUGAUCUGUUGGGACAGAGGGACAGAACAUGUGAAAAUUGUCCUCAGGUGUGGUGGAGAGGGAGAACAGAGCAGCCCCCUCCAGCACACCAGGGCAUGUGUGC